RNAcentral lists this ribosomal RNA (498 nucleotides) under uncultured bacterium. Its description in RNAcentral is "partial 16S ribosomal RNA". It matches the Rfam family "Bacterial small subunit ribosomal RNA", at positions 28 to 507 of the family's 1533-position model. The record is from RNAcentral.
GAUGAACGCUGGCGGCGUGCCUAAUACAUGCAAGUCGAACGAGCGCGACCGGUGCUUGCACUUGUCAAUCUAGUGGCGAACGGGUGAGUAACACGUGGGUAACCUGCCCAUCAGAGGGGGAUAACUUCCGGAAACGGAUGCUAAUACCGCAUAAGACUUCGAGCCGCAUGGCUUGAAAAUGAAAAGAGGCGUUAGCUUCUGCUGAAGGAUGGACCCGCGGUGCAUUAGCUAGUUGGUAAGGUAACGGCUCACCAAGGCCGUGAUGCAUAGCCGACCUGAGAGGGUGAUUGGCCACAUUGGAACUGAGACACGGCCCAGACUCCUACGGGAGGCAGCAGUAGGGAAUCUUCCGCAAUGGGCGAAAGUCUGACGGAGCAACGCCGCGUGAGUGAUGAAGGUUUUCGGAUCGUAAAACUCUGUUGUUAGAGAAGAACAAAUGCGAAAGUAACUGUGAACGUCUUGACGGUAUCUAACCAGAAAGCCACGGCUAACUACGUG